GGGCCCGCACAAGCGGUGGAGCAUGUGGCUUAAUUCGAGGCAACGCGAAGAACCUUACCUGGGCUUGAAAUAUAUUUGACAGUCUGUGAAAGCAGAUCUUCCUUCGGGACAGAUAUACAGGUGCUGCAUGGCUGUCGUCAGCUCGUGUUGUGAAAUGUUCGGUUAAGUCCGGCAACGAGCGCAACCCGCGUCAUCAGUUGCCAGCAGGUAAAGCUGGGGACUCUGGUGAGACUGCCUGUGUUAAGCAGGAGGAAGGCGCGGAUGACGUCAAGUCAGUAUGGCCCUUACGCCCAGGGCUGCACACGUGCUACAAUGGUCGGUACAAUGAGACGCAAUACCGCGAGGUGGAGCAAAUCUACAAAACCGAUCUUAGUUCAGAUUGCAGUCUGCAACUCGACUGCAUGAAGUUGGAAUCGCUAGUAAAGGCGUAUCAGCUACGACGCCUUGAAUACGUUCCCGGGCCUU
RNAcentral lists this ribosomal RNA (465 nucleotides) under uncultured bacterium. Its description in RNAcentral is "bacterial SSU rRNA". It matches the Rfam family "Bacterial small subunit ribosomal RNA", at positions 917 to 1382 of the family's 1533-position model. The record is from RNAcentral.